GCCCUCUCAGGGUCACACUUGGAGAGUUUCCAGUCCUCUGCCAAUCAUGACUACAGAAGGAAGAGUCAAGCAGAGGCCUGUCCAUUCCAUUCCUAGCUUGGUCAGUGGCUAGCGAGUGGCAAGCAAUCUGCUACAAGU
Small nucleolar RNA from Tachyglossus aculeatus (Australian echidna), 138 nucleotides. NCBI's taxonomy places the organism in Eukaryota, Metazoa, Chordata, Mammalia, Monotremata, Tachyglossidae. The record is from RefSeq and is a predicted model, not a curated record.